This 253-nucleotide ribosomal RNA is filed under the name uncultured bacterium. Its description in RNAcentral is "partial 16S ribosomal RNA". It matches the Rfam family "Bacterial small subunit ribosomal RNA", at positions 524 to 776 of the family's 1533-position model. The record is from RNAcentral.
UACGUAGGGUGCGAGCGUUGUCCGGAAUUACUGGGCGUAAAGCGUGCGCAGGCGGUUCGUUGUGUCGGUGGUGAAAUCCCCGGGCUUAACCUGGGAAUGGCCAUGGAAACUGGCGAACUGGAGUGCGGCAGAGGGGGGUGGAAUUCCGCGUGUAGCAGUGAAAUGCGUAGAGAUGCGGGGGAACACCGAUGGCGAAGGCAGCCCCCUGGGCUAGCACUGACGCUCAGGCACGAAAGCGUGGGGAGCAAACAGG